GACGCAGGGGGCCAGCGUUGUUGGAAUUACUGGGUGUAAAGGGUUCGUAGGCGGUGUGGCAAGUCGGGAGUGAAAUUUCUGGGCUCAACUCAGAGACUGCUUCCGAAACUGCUGUGCUGGAGUGUGGGAGAGGCGCGUGGAAUUGCAGGUGUAGCGGUGAAAUGCGUAGAUAUCUGCAGGAACACCCGUGGCGAAAGCGGCGCGCUGGACCACUACUGACGCUGAGGAACGAAAGCUAGGGGAGCAAACAGG
Molecule: ribosomal RNA, 252 nt
Filed under: uncultured bacterium
Lineage: Bacteria
Description: partial 16S ribosomal RNA
Rfam family: Bacterial small subunit ribosomal RNA
Source: RNAcentral